RNAcentral lists this long non-coding RNA (411 nucleotides) under Marmota marmota marmota (Alpine marmot). RNAcentral's name for it is "lncRNA (ENSMMMG00000011111.1)". The record is from RNAcentral. Lineage: Eukaryota; Metazoa; Chordata; Mammalia; Rodentia; Sciuridae.
CUGAGACUUGUCCUAAGGAGAAAGCCAGGGGAAAAAUGAAGUGAGAAUUAGAUUAAAGCUGCCUUGCACUGCCGAAUGCUGAGCCUACAUGAGCUGCAGGAUCAAGGGCCAGCACUGGAAAAGCUUUACUACAGUUGCUAAAAGAAUCGUGGAGGACCACAAGGUUUAGAAGAUGGCUCAAUAUUCCAACCUUGCAAUUCUCAGAGAAAGUAAUGAGAAAAACACAGUCCUGUGGAUCACCAAGUCCAGAUUUGUACAAAGAAAAACUAGUUCAGGGCUGAGACUGAGAGCUGAUACAUUUCAAGGAGGACCGGCCGGCUGCACUUGUGAGCGGUGACAGAUCUCUGUGAAAUAUAAUCCUGAUUAAAAAUGCAUGUGUGAAACCUCUUCGAAUAAAGCGCUGUGUCCAAC